Molecule: ribosomal RNA, 472 nt
Filed under: uncultured Comamonas sp.
Lineage: Bacteria; Pseudomonadati; Pseudomonadota; Betaproteobacteria; Burkholderiales; Comamonadaceae
Description: bacterial SSU rRNA
Rfam family: Bacterial small subunit ribosomal RNA
Source: RNAcentral
AAUUGACGGGACCCGCACAAGCGGUGGAUGAUGUGGUUUAAUUCGAUGCAACGCGAAAACCUUACCCACCUUUGACAUGUACGGAAUCCUUUAGAGAUAGAGGAGUGCUCGAAAGAGAGCCGUAACACAGGUGCUGCAUGGCUGUCGUCAGCUCGUGUCGUGAGAUGUUGGGUUAAGUCCCGCAACGAGCGCAACCCUUGUCAUUAGUUGCUACAUUCAGUUGGGCACUCUAAUGAGACUGCCGGUGACAAACCGGAGGAAGGUGGGGAUGACGUCAAGUCCUCAUGGCCCUUAUGGGUAGGGCUUCACACGUCAUACAAUGGUCGGUACAGAGGGUUGCCAAGCCGCGAGGUGGAGCCAAUCCCUUAAAGCCGAUCGUAGUCCGGAUCGUAGUCUGCAACUCGACUACGUGAAGUCGGAAUCGCAAGUAAUCGCAGAUCAGCAUGCUGCGGUGAAUACGUUCCCGGGUCUU